RNAcentral lists this transfer RNA (73 nucleotides) under Lebiasina astrigata. Its description in RNAcentral is "tRNA-Ser (UCN)". Lineage: Eukaryota; Metazoa; Chordata; Actinopteri; Characiformes; Lebiasinidae. The record is from RNAcentral.
UAAGAUACGCAAGGUUUUAACUUGCAAUUUUGCCUUGACAAAGCAAUGUAAUAAACGGUUUUACUAGUGUCUC